AAAUGCGAUAAGUAAUGUGCAUUGCAGAAUUCCGUGAAUCAUCGAAUCUUUGAACGCACAUUGCGCCCUCUGGCAUUCCGGGGGCAUGCCUGUCCGAGCGUCAUUACGCACCCUCAAGCCCGGCUUGUGUGAUGGGCCCCGGCGUCUCGUUCGCGAGACGGGCCCGAAAGGCAGCGGCGGCGUCGACCCGAUGAGCCCGAGCGUAUGGGGACUUCUGUCACACGUUCGCGGUGCGGACCGGCGCCUGCUUUGACUUUUCUGAUUAUCCAGGUUGACCUCGGAUCAGGUAGGGAUACCCGCUGAACUUAAGC
RNAcentral lists this unclassified non-coding RNA (311 nucleotides) under plant metagenome. RNAcentral describes it as "partial contains 5.8S ribosomal RNA, internal transcribed spacer 2, and large subunit ribosomal RNA". The stretch from base 1 to 103 matches the Rfam family "5.8S ribosomal RNA", at positions 51 to 154 of the family's 154-position model. The record is from RNAcentral.